CACUUCAGGAGGUGCCACUCAUGU
This 24-nucleotide microRNA is filed under the name Eptesicus fuscus (big brown bat). The record is from RNAcentral. Lineage: Eukaryota; Metazoa; Chordata; Mammalia; Chiroptera; Vespertilionidae.